GAUGAAGAACGCACCAAAAUGCGAUAAGUAAUGUGAAUUGCAGAAUUCAGUGAAUCAUCGAAUCUUUGAACGCACAUUGCGCCCGCCAGUAUUCUGGCGGGCAUGCCUGUUCGAGCGUCAUUUCAACCCUCAAGCACAGCUUGGUGUUGGGACUCGCGUUAAUUCGCGUUCCUCAAAUUGAUUGGCGGUCACGUCGAGCUUCCAUAGCGUAGUAGUAAAACCCUCGUUACUGGUAAUCGUCGCGGCCACGCCGUUAAACCCCAACUUCUGAAUGUUGACCUCGGAUCAGGUAGGAAUACCCGCUGAACUUAAGCAUAUCAAUAAGCGGAGGA
This 332-nucleotide unclassified non-coding RNA is filed under the name soil metagenome. Its description in RNAcentral is "partial contains 5.8S ribosomal RNA, internal transcribed spacer 2, and large subunit ribosomal RNA". The stretch from base 1 to 120 matches the Rfam family "5.8S ribosomal RNA", at positions 35 to 154 of the family's 154-position model. The record is from RNAcentral.